UCGCGCUUUUUUUUUUUUUUUUUUUUUUUUUUUUUUUUUUUUAUGAAUGGAGGGCAGGCGCAGCUGCGCAUGCACCGCGCCCCCCGCCCGGGCUGGAGGGCCAAGCUAUCUAGUCCAUGUUUGGGAAAACUCCACUGCUCUAAUGGGAAAAGGACCUUUUCUCCUGAGCAAAGGCUGUGGGGUCUGACUUUAAACAAGAGAAGCAAAGUGCUCGCCUUGGUGUGAACAUCCCAGGUACCUAUGAAGACAGGGAAGAAACCCAAACAAAUGAGGGGUGAUGGUGUUUCCUCGUCCAACUGCUUUUCCAGAGUUUUUAGAUUCAACAUGUGUGUUGUUCCUGCAGCAACAAUCGCUCCUCAUCCCGCCAAGGGACGCGCAGAGAACGCAAGGGGUUUGAGAUGCUGUGUGUGGAUGAGAGAUCCGGUGUUUGUGAAGGGUGAUGUACACACCUGGGUAGAGCUGGCUGAUGUUAUGGCCCUGGCAUCUCCCCUUGCUCUGCCCUGCGUGCUGCAGAAGUUCAGGAAUCCCCGGCAGCGAGCUGUGUGGCCCCUGUUUCAGCGGAGAAUCGCCUGCAGCCCUCAGCAUUUUUACUGGCCUGAUCCUUUGGGGCUGGAGCCAGCAGCUUUGUCACCGGCCAGAACCCACUGUCCCUUUUCGCAGGGAUGCGCUGAGCACCCACCAGUGCCAACCCAGAUGGAGUUGUUCCCCAUGCAGAGUCCUUCCUCUGAGUCUCUCUCUCUUCUUUUCUUCUUCCUUUUGACACUUCCUUAUUUGCAGAUUUGUCAGAGUUAAAGGGUUGUGCCCUGGUGGUGGUUAGUUGGCCCCGUAGACAAACGCCAGCUUUGCCUGGGGCUGCCGGCCACAUGGAAAUGACACCAGCGAGACAGCAACUUUCUAAACAAGCUUAAUUAAAUCUGAGCAAUACUUGUGUGGGCUGCUGGAGCCCUCCUACCCCUGAAAAGCACUGCAAGAAAGCUCAGAUUUCCUGGUGUCACCCUGGCCUCCUUUGCACAGGGCAGCUCUGGGUAUCCAUGUCCCUGGGGUGGCACAAGGACCCGUGGGGACAGUGGCAGGAGCUGCGUGGCAGCAGAGCCCCGUGUGCGGGGCAGAGGGAGCCUGGGGGGGGCUCAGCACUGGCAGCUUGGGGAAAGAACAUUGAAUUGUUGUGAAUGGAAAUGGCUUUGGGUGAAAACCCUGGAGAGGACAGAGGGUGGACGGCGCUGCUGUCAUUGCAUCGUUUGUCUGUGCGGAACCUCACUGUUACAGUUCCUGUGUGUUGCUUAAUUGCUUUUGGAUGAUAUUCAGGUACCAAAGUGGGGCAGAAGCAACUCUCAGGCUGGAUUUUAACCCUUUUGGGGGGUGUAAUUCCUGUGUUGUUGCAGGAGGGGCUGAGUGGGGAGUGGUGGGCAGCGGGGCUGGAGCUGGGCAGUGGGGAUGAGCGUGAGGUGCAACCAGACAAAGUAUAAACCUACAGUUCAGUGUGGAAGGAGAAGAGAAGGCUCUGAAGGGACAGAGCAACCCCUGACUGGGACAGCAGGAUGAUCCAUCAAGUUGUGGUGGCAUCAAUAGCGUGUGCACUGAAUAGCUUAACGCGUGUAAUGAGCAUUAAGAGGGAAGGAGGUAUGUUAUGGAAACACGGCCCCGGAGCCUGUAGGACUGAUUGCCUGGGCAGGCUGGAGGAGCGGAUGGCAUUUAAGAGCCGUUGGGACCUUUCUCUGCUCUUUGGUGGAGACAGUGUUAAUCGGCCGGGCUUAGCGACGCGGGGCGGAUGUCAGGGAGGAACAGAAGGGCUGUUAAGCACGAGGAAAUUGCUCGCUGUCUAGAUGGGCUUAACACAGUAUAAACUCUGCAGCAUGCACAGAAAGUUAAAGCCUGAAUGGCGGGCGAGCUGGAGUUGCACAGCGCGGCACCGCGGACACGAGCGGACGGCGACGUUUCUCCUGUGCGGGGUUGCUGGGGGCUGGUGCUGGAGCACAGUGUCCGUGCACCGGCCUUUUCCUUCGGGCAGAAAGGCUGGGUGUUGUUGGGGAAAGCCUGUCUGGACUCUGGGGAAAACUGGUAAAAUGAUAUCUUGAUUAUAAUUAAUUACUGCAGUAUUUUGUUUUGGAAUUGCACCUCUGGCUAGUGUGCAUCUCCCCAAAGAUGCUGUGAUAGUGCCCCACAGCCUUCCUGUUGGUUUUCAUUUAGUUUGGAAAAGUAAUUAAAAGAGAUUAAAAAAAGAAGCAGCAGAGUUGCUGACUUUCUUCACAAAAGGAAAGGAGUUAGGCCAACCCUACUGCUAUGAAAAUAAACACAAUUCCAUUUUUUUGUUGCAAGUUCUUCCCAUAUAUUGAAUUUCCGUGCUUAGUGACAAGGAUGGAUCUGCCUGAGUGAGCAGCGAUUGGAUUCAGAUGGCUUUGAGUUGCAACUGGUUUUGCUUUGGAAAGCUGGAACUGUCCUCAGAGGGGAGGGUUUGGACCUGAGCUUGGGGCCUUAUUCUCCAUAGAGCAGAAGCCUUGCAGCCUAACUGAUCUAAGCUGUUAGCUUUCCAUGGCUGUGCCUGCGCAUUAUUUAUCUCCUUUAUUUAUCCUGUGCUCAAGGUGUGUUUUUAGUAGCAACAAGCUGGCAAUUGUAAUUGUCAUCCGAAAGGCUUGACUGUGUUUGCUAGAUUUUGCCUAUGGACCUGGACAGGGGCUCUGGUCCCGCAGGUACGUUUAUCUGCAGAUGACCUCCCUCGUCUCUCUGGAGAAAUGCUGCUCCUCCAGUUGUUCUCUCCCCCCUCAUUUCCCAGUUACAGGCAGCGGUUAGCAUAGGCGCAGGCAUGGCAAAGCCCACGGUAAACACCGCCUGUGGAGCACGAGCUGUAAACUGAGACUAAUUUGGCACCGAGUUCAGUCGUAAAGGAUAAAUGUGCUUUAUGGCCGCAUUCAGGAUGUAGCUGUAAUGGCUAAAUAAAACCAUACUCCGGGUGAGGGAAGCUGUCAGCUACGGCCCCAGGGAAUUGGGUUUUCGUGCAAGCAAAUGGUGACUAUUGCAAAUCACAGAAAACGGGAAAGGGACUGAAUGAGCGGAGUGUGGGGUUAAGGGGGGGAGUGCUGGUGAGGGACAUUCACAGCGAGAUGGAGCCCGCAGUGAGGAGUCCCUGCCUUUGUCACUAACAGUGUGGUUUCCUCUGUCACAGGUGGCUGCUCAGGUGCAGAGAGAGGAGGAGACGAGCUCUGCAGUUGCUGUGGGUCUGGCAGAGCCAGGACGCAGGAUCAGGCCACGUUGGUGUCUUGAGGCUGGAGCCUGAGUGCUCUGAAAACGCCAAAUCAAUGGGUGCAUGUGGCAGGAGCUCAUCCGUGCCCGCUCCUGCCGCGUCCCGCUCGAAAACUGGAGACAAACCGUAACACUGUGGCUUUCGCGAUGCUUCCUCGGCUGAAGAUGCUGAAACGUCCCUGCUAACAGGAUAAACAGCUCACAGGAAGCAGCAGUGGGGUUUUAAAUCUCUGCAGAGGACUCUAGAGCCGAACAGAAGGAGGGAGCGGAGAAGACCUGGAGCACUCUGCAGCCUGGGGCUCUGCCUGCCUGCCGGCAUAUUGUCGAGCUUGAAUCCUCCAUCCAAGACCGGCAGGAGGACUGAGCUGAGCGUGAAUUUUGCCCGUGCUGCCCCCAGCUCCAGCCUCGCAGAGGUGAAGGACUCCUGUACUUUUGCUUCCUUGGCUACCAAAUCCAUGCCAUCGAGCGGACACCCUGACUGCAUCUCCACAUACACCUCACCUGCUGCCACGGCUGGGCUGUCACAAGUCACACGGGUGCAACAGACUUCAACCUGUUCCCAAAUUACUUUUCAAUGCAAUAUCACCAGAAAAGGUCAGUUAAAGGAAACUCGCUGUGUGGGAAAACGCACUUGCUGCUCAGGAAGAAGCGAGAGGCGUGCUGACUCGGCAAGGCUUGGCCCCACGGUGCCCACGCUGACCUGUCCCUCCAUGCAGCUCGUGCCUGGUCCCCGCUGGCUUUGAUGCAUAGAAUUACUUAUGAACAGAUUGUAGAAGAGACAUAUUUACUUAAUAAAUAAAUACAAAUAACAUAUGGCAGGUACUAGCAUGUAACACAGCAAUACUGGUGUUGUAAGGGAGGCUAAAUGUCAAGGGCUUGGAGCUUUUGGCUGAUGCUAGUUUAGCUUAAUAUGCCGAGGGUGUCGGCAAGUGUUUAACCAGACCGGCACUCGGUAACGUGACUAGCGCAGUCUGAAAUAGCUUGAAGGGCAUAUUAGAAGCUACAUACUUAGAUGGAUAAAUAUGUUAACACAGAGUAUCCAGAGAGGUUUUGCCUUAGGAUAGCCAGGGACAGUAGAAGACUGUGUUUCUCUGCUCACCGGGGUGUCUCUGGGGAGCCCCCUUGGCCCUGUUUCUGGGUGCCUGCCCAGGACAGGUCUGUGGGGGUGCCAGGGACCUUGGGGGUGUUGGGGCUUUUCCCCUCAGCUCUGCAAAGCUUUGUGCAGGGCAGAAGAGCUCUGCCUUGUCUAAUGUUGGUAAAGCCUUUACUUACAGUUCAGAGCUUUAACGUUUGGCUCUGUCAUACUAGCCAAAAAGAGAGAGUGAGGGAAAAGGAGGAGGCAGCAGUUGGGUUUUGGGGUUCGGGUUGUCUCUGCGCUCCUGGGCCGGCUUAGUCGGCCAAGACGGGCAGCGGGAGGAAGAGGAUGGCCUUCUGGCCAUAGUGUGUCCGCGGCCCCAGCUUGCUGUUCCCGUUCUUCUUCAGACCCACAAACCAGUUCUUAUCCGCGUGCUUUUUGGAGACAUACGUGUUGUAAUGGUUCUCCUCGAUCCUCUCAAGGAACAGGCACUCCUCGCCCAGCAGCUGCUGAAAGAGAGCCCCGGGUACCGGCAGUGAGACGGCUGUGCUGCGGGGAGGAGGAGGCGCGUUCCUAACCCAGUGACCCCGCUCGGGUGCUCCCUGGCCAGGACGCUCUCCAGACCCACCUCACAGAGCUUUGUUCCCUAGGACAGUUCAUGUUAAAAGCAUGGAGGUCUGUACAGAUAUUUCCUUCCAUGAAGUAGUGGGAUGAAAGAGAGAAAAUAAGGCUGUUUGUGGAAAUGGACGUGGGCUUCAUUCUCAAGGGUCUACGAUAUCCUGGUAAGCUUUCUUUUCAUUUCAUGGUGCAAACUUGGUGUCCACACACAGCAGCAAAGGACACGGUGAGGGAAUCCUUACGUAGGGCUGGACGGGGAGGGCUUGGAGUGAGUGACUUCUCCUUAGAGAUCCUCCCUGAAUCUGGGCCUGGCACCUGGCAAGAUGAUGUAAGAUAAAAAUAGGAAUUCUUGGUAUUUAGCUGGGACAAAAUGCACAUGGUCACGGGCAGUUUGCAAAGCACCAAAACAUCUCUAACGCAGCUGUGCUUGCUGGACCCCGAUGAGCCAUGAGCGUUCCUGCGCCUCGUCCCUGCCCGGGACCUCUCUCCCUGCUGUCACCCCCAGGUUUCCCCAGGUUUCUGGCUCGCUCCACGCUGGCCAGUGCUUGUCCCCACUGUGUAAGGUGCAUCCCACGGCCAAGGUCACAGUCCGGGCUGCUCCCCUUGUGCACCCGGUGCGGAGCAGCUCUGCGGGCAGCCGUCGGUGCUCGGAGUCCGGGUACGGCCCCGCAGGGCAGCUUCGCUGGCACGCAGCCCUGCUGGGAGUUUCCCCUGUAAAUAUUUGUCCGUUCAGGUAUCCGAGUUUACAAGAUCAUUUACAGGAGGUUCCUUUCUGGCAGAGGUUUCCGAACACGUGGCGCCAGGCCAGCAGCUGGGGAGAUGCAAGUGUUGGGGCACAGCGGGUGCCCUGCACAGGAGUGCUGCCCGCACCCCUGCCUGCCCCCCUGCCUGUGUGCAUGGUGUGGCUGUGGGGACCAGCGGCCGGGCUGGAAACACUCACUCCAAGGUGUCGAGCUCGCUUUGCCAGGGGUAAAAAGCUGUGCUGUGACAUGGAGGGCUUGAGGCUUGGGGCUGGAUUAGCACCCUGUGUCCCUGGGGAUGUCACCAUGCCGCUGGCUCUGCAAACCCAUGCUGAGCUCCCCAGGACACACGGGUGUCUCUGUGUCCUUCUGACUCCAGAAAAAUCUCGGCUCUGGUAAAACGUGGCAGAGCUGCCUGUUGAGCUGGUACAACCUCUGCAGCUGCCAGCUUGUGGGUCCUGCAAGCCCCGUCCUGCCUUCCCAGAUCCUUUGGGUCAGGGGCCUCGUCCGCCUCUCGCAGGGGGUUGAGAAGGGUUAGUGCCGGCUUUGUUCCAGGCUGCCUGCCCUGCGCUGUGUUUGUCCAGCUUUGGUGAGCUCAGCCAUCCUCCAGCACUGCCGCCUUCUGCGUGAGCGCUGGGGAAGUGGCGUUUAUAAUUAAAAUUUUGCUAUAAACUGCAUUUCAUUAAAACAACAAUAACAAGGAGAAAGGUUAAUCUAUGGGGAGAAAGCCACAUGUAUGCUCGUGGUUUAAAGAAAAUAAAAGUGCUUUUCUUAGAAUUUGUAAGGCGGACUUGGCUCCUCCCAGUACUUCUUGUUAAGCGGAUAGGAGCCUGGCAGGUCCCAGUGACAUUCCAGUAAAUGUUCAGGAUAUGAUGUGCCCAGAGGUUCCUGCUGGGAACCGAGAGCUCCGGCACGUGGCGGUGGGGCAGAGCCCAGCCCCGCAGGGCGCUUGGCUGCGCUGCUGGUCCAGCUCUCCUUGGGAGCUGUUAAAACUCCUCUCGGGCAUUUUGGAAGUGCAAGAGCCCUAAAAGUUUUAAACUGCCCAACCAAUUCCUCGGAUUUUAUGUCUGUCUCCUCACACGGCCGUUCUCUCCUUUGUCUGAGCCGUUUGCCCGGGGGUGCUCUGCAACCCGGAGAGCUGCUGUGGGCUUUGUGGUGCCAGGGCCAGGUGCUCAGCUCCAUCUGACACCUUUGCGCAGCUUGGUCAAAGCAAGAAGAGCCUCAGCACCAUGGCUUGGCGCUGGUCCUGUGAGCGGCUGGCAGGGAAAGAGUUCUUCAUGCCUUUAGUGACAUGGUCAACUACUGAAUAGGACAAACACGCACCUUUCCUUCCUCUACAGGAUAAUAUUAUGAAUUUUUGACAUUAAGGCUUGCCCUGCAUCAGGUAGUCUGCAGUACCUUAUAGCAGCAUUUACAAAAACAGCACUUUUUAGUGAGUGAGUCCUGCCAGUUUCCUGGGGUAAACUUUGAUGCCAAUUCUGGAGAACGAACACGCUCCUAGAAAGGCAGUGGGAUGUGCAAAUGGUAGGACAAGCGCUGGUAUCUGCUGUUCAUCCAAGCAGCAGGUCCCCAGUGUCCCAUGGGCUGGAGCCGCCGGCAUCACUGACUGAAUGGUAACACAAGUGCAUUUCUAAAGCUCUAAGUCACAAAAUAACUCUUUCAGCUGAUUGUUGCCUCUGUUGGGCUUUUGCAUCCUGCAGGCAUUUAAUUUGCUGCUGAGAGGGAAGUUCCCCGAAGGACUAUGUGCAGAACAUACAGCUAAAACCCGCUCGGCACAGUCUGCGGCUGACAGCUUCGCCUGCGAGGAUGCCGGCUGCAGUGUUGUAUUUGCACAGCCCGCUGGUGUGCUGAAUCUCCUAAUCCAGAGCAAAUGCAAAGAUACCGUAGAAUUAUGUGUGCUGACUGCCUGUGUGUAGGAUGUGAGGCUGCGCCUAAGCUCUUUUCCAGCUGCCAACUUGCCGUGUAAGCCAGCUGUGCCGCAAUUAGCACUUGGGUCCUGUAUGGUCUGCCUGCCUGCAAUUAUGUUGAUGACCAGUUUCAUAUUUAAUGCUCUGCAGAUGUAAAUUGUGUAUGUCCCGUGCCUCCCCAGGCUCUGCGUAUAGUCUACAGGUGUGUUUGUGUGUGCUGACCCCAAGAGGAAAAGAGCCUGCUAUAGAGCCCGUCUUCUCCAGCUGCCCCUUUCCUGGCUGACAGGAGCACGGAGGAGCGCCAAAAAUCCCGUCGGGUUUGCUUACUGUGCUGGUCGCUUCGGUCCCUGGUCCCAUCCACUUUCCCGUCCGGGAGGAUGCGUAGGAAGUGGCCACCGUUGCUGCAGUACAGGAGUUUGGGUUUCUUGUAGUUCCCGGGGGGCAGGUUGAACUUCUCGGUCAGGGCGGUGAAGGUGGUGAUCUCCCCCUCGGCCAUUGCUCAGCCUCUCCCGGCGGCCGGGCUGCAAGAGAUGCGGCAGCGGGUGGCAGGAGCGGUGGCACGGGGUGCGUGGCACACGCUGCUGCCGCCGGCCUUUUAAAGGGAGGGAGGGAGCCCGGUGGUCCCGGUGCCCGGGCUGACUGCGGGGCAGGUGAUUCAGAGCACGAUGGUGACACAGUGUCACAGCCCUAAGGUGAUGCUCCGUAGCGUGGGAGGUGGCGGGGGGAUCGUCUCCUCACUGGCUGUAGCCGGCUGGUAGGGACUCUGUCCUUUUAAUUUUAUCAUAGUAAAUUCUGUUUUCUUUCUGCUCUCGAUUGACGUACGUACUAAAAUUAUAUGCUCAAAAAAAAGCUUGAAAAACACCCAGUGUCUGAUUGGAACCCACAGGAGGCAGGAAGGGAGCCCAGGUUAAUAACUCUCUCCACUAUUAUAACUUCCAAACAUGAUUAUGACUGGGUAUUGCGACACGUACGGCAUGCCAGAUAGCAAAUAUUACAUCACACCCUGGCACGCUGCAUCUCACCUGGCCAAGGGAAACACACAUGCUAAAGAUCAGAACAAAGGCUGGAUAUUGUGGGAGAUGAGCAGGACAGGAGCCUGUCACCACCUGGGCAGUGAGCAGGACAUUUACCUGUGCACUGGUCAAUAGCAUAUGGAAAAAAAUCAAUGUGAGUCUAGAUUGUACCAUGUUUGUGCACCCUUGCGUCUCAGUGAAAGUGUUUAAAAGGGAAAGGCAAAGCUCUGGCUGACACAGAGGGUGUAGCUGGGCAUGGAGCACCAUCCCGUGAGCGUGCUCCCCAUGGGGCGCCUGGGGCUGGGACAUGCACAGGGAUUGUGUGGAAACCUCAUUGCUAAAUGCACCAUGACCCGUGUCCAAGCAGAUGCUGUCCCAAAACCUGAAGGCAUCAUCAGGCCCAUAAGAGAAAGACGCUGUGACUGUCGGAGGGUGAGAACUGACACUGCAGACGUGGGACCAGGAGGUGUCGUGGGCGGGGACCAGGGUCCCACACAUAACGCAGGUAUGUUCCAAUUUAUCUGAGUGUUUCUGGCCUGGAAACUGCAUUUAAAACCUCCCAUAUGAACAUGCUGUCUUUCAUAUAUCAAGUUCUGUAAUGCUUAUAGAGGAGUGGAUUUAUGCACAGAAAAAGGCCACAGUAUAAAUCUAGAAACAGGAAACAACUUUAAAUGUAAUGUAUUCCUGUAGCUAUAUUAUGGGAAGUAUCAUUUAGUCACUGUUUAUACAUAUUUAUAAGUUGUAAAAAUGUCUAUUUAGUCCUGAGCUGUGCUACUGGCACAUUAGGACGGAGCCAGUGUCAUAUGGUGGGUUUGCCGUGGUACUUAAAGAGUGACCCGGGAAACAUGAAGGACUGCAGCUCUUUGCUUACAAACACGCGCGUGGAUAUGUAGAUAUAAUCUCUAAAUAAUUGGCUGUAAACUCUUAAGUGUGUAAAUUUGCAAAUGCAGCUGCAAGGAGGGGCAGCUAGUACUUCAAGUGGAUCCCAAAAGCCGGCGAAAGAUAAAAAUGUAUGAAAGUUGGACUGCAAAAGCCAAAACAGUGGAAAUUAAGACUCCAUUGCUACUGGUGAAAAUGCAUCUGACCACUCCAAGCAGCUUUGGUUCAUACAUAGACUUCAUCCCUGACUCUCAGGUGGGUACCCCGGGGGCCUCUAGCAAAACAGGGCGAUUCCUUAGGAGAGGAAAACAUAACCAUAAAGCAAAAAAUACUAAUAUUCCCUGCCCUCCCAGGCCACGGUUUCUCUGCCAGCUGUUGAUUCAUGACAGCUUCUCUUUCCUCCCAACUACCAGCCCAUGUUUUGCUGCAGAUGGUGUUAAAUCACAAAUACAACAGCACAACAUGGAGUCAAAAUGCUGGGACAUUCUGUGUUAAGCUCUUCCCCACUGCCCUUUCUCCAGAACCGUUUUGAUCCUGUUGGGUAAGUCCCGUUUGCGGUACCUGGGGGCGCUCCUUGGUCGGCCCCGCGCUGCCCCAGCUGUGUGCUGUUCUGCGCUGGAACCUGCUUGGGUUCUUCUCUGGGUACAGUCUCCUCCCAAAACUUGUUUUUCAGUCAAUAGAUCGUACUUUUCUUGUCACAGUUCAGUUUUUCAUGCCCACUGGCAGCCAAGCUUUCUCUGAGCGAAAGCCUUCAGGUAAUUCAACAUUGUAUAUAAGGCGUUAGUGCUUUUCUGAGUCUGAAUCAAGAUCAGUGGUCUUGUGUAAUUUACUGGAACUAAAGCUUUUCUUGACCCUUUAUCUGAGGGUAAAGGGCACUCGGAAGUCUGCUGGGUAGACAACAGGUAGAAGGGAGGAACAAACAUCCCAAAGGCCAGAGCUCAGUCGGGAUCCCAGGACGCUCCCCGUGGUCACCGCAAGGUCUGUGCAUUCGAGGGCAUCUAUGGGCGACCUGAGCAGAGCAGCUCGACUGGAAAUGGCUUCUUUAUUUUCACAUAUUUCCCUUAAGGGUUUUUUGCUAUUUUUAGAAUGAAUUCAGUGCUCGCCAGCUGCCUUGGACUCCACAAGACAAGCUGAAUGAACACGAUUUUCCACUCCCACUGUCUCUCCCUGCUAAAUACUAUUGCUGUUCUCAUACUUUUAUGACCGUGGCGUUGGUACUCUACACACACCACCGCUCACGGCCCUACUAUUAUCCGUUUGGCAGGAACAUGUUAGGUUUUUAUGGGAAUUAAAAAGCAAGAGUGAGAGAGAGAACCUGAACCAAAGACAACAUACAGGGCCUUAUUUUUUGGGUAGAAGCCCAACAAAAUUAUUAAAUAGCUCAAAGCAGAACAGCAAACUCUCUCCGAGCUGACAGACACCGCACUCCAGCGGUUAUUUGGUGCCCCGUGGAGAAAGGAAAAUAUUCCAAGAGGAGAUGGCUGCUGCCGAGCAGCUGAUGCUGCCGGUCGGGGUUGGGGAGUGUUUGUCCGAGACCGGCUGUGUUUGUGGCUCUCCUCUUUUCUGCACCACACUUCCCUCCCGAAGCUUUCCUGGGCUGCGUGGCCUAAGAGAAAAGCACUGCUGGGAGCGGAUGGCAUUGUCACCAGGGGUGGGACCCAGUACAUCUGCUCUGGGGUGGCCCCAGCUCUGGCUGUGGACAUGGGGAGCAGACGGUCCUUCCAGCCACCUGGCUCUUCCUCCCAGGCUCUGGAAGGAGAUGUCAGAGCCCCAAAGGGUCAGAAAUAGCUUUCUAAAGAAGAAAAAUGACUUAAAAAGAGGGUUAAAGCCUGAAUGCUAUUUUUAACCAAGUCCUCCUGAACUUUGGUGGCCGGAGCACUGCAGCGUGCAUGCUGCUCGUGGAGCGAGGCGAGAUGGGAAAUUCUGAGAAGUUUGGGUUUGGUUCCAGACUUUAUCACCGACCACUGUUGCUGCAGCCAGACCAGUGGCUUUGAUGUCAAAUCCCAAACUCUGCAAGCUUCUGAGCCUGAGCAUCUUGGGCCGGUUAUUUUGGCAGUAACAGGCGAACUCUGUGUGAGCUCCAGAAGCACAGGGUGUGCUAGGGGCCGUGCAAAAGGAGUGAGGUACUCUUCCUGUCCUCCUUUAAAAUCAGUGCAGACUUCACCCGCUGGGACGGGUCUCCCCUUUGCUUGUCUUACAAAGGUGGUGUUGCUGAGUUUGGCAAGUUGCUCCCCACACCGUUUCUGGCCGCCCCUCUGGACACACACGGUAGCUGGAGACCACGAGGAUGGAAACUUGUUGCUUGUGAGCUGGGAGAUGAGCAUCUUCUGCUACCAUCCACAAAGCUCCAUCCACCAGUCAGCCUGCCUGCGCUGCCUUCCCUUCGAAGGGCUGGCGGUGCAAGGCACGGCUCACAUUCCUUGGACUAGGCAUCCUCUUAGAAGGACUCAAUAAAUCAUUAGGCAAAGCCUAUGAUAAAUAUGUAAUAGAUCAUUUUGUGCAUGUCAGCAGAAAGCGUUGGCUUGUUUCUAGUUGGUGUUUAUGCCAAGAUGAUUUUAUCUCUAGCAAUAUGAUUAACUGCUUAGUGGAAUAUUUAUCAGUCAGGUUUUACCCUUUGCAAGUGGAAUAUGUGGUAUAAAGUGUGACCAAACCAGUAGAAAUUAAUGUAACUAAUCCUGCUGUCACCAUCUCCUGCUCUCCCCAGGACGUGGAGGCAGUCGCUGGGGUUGUGUCACACGGGACCUGCGCUGGGUAAAACAGGCAGGAGGGCAAGUGUGAAACCUUUAGCAAUUGACAGAGUUUCAUGAAUGGCGAGUGAGUGAGUUCUUUGCUGAAAGGAGGCUGAUGACAAACACCAGGAGCAUCGGGAAAACACAGAAUGAGAGCAGGUUGCAUCCUGGAUUUGGCCAUUUUCUGGCUUAGCUCCUGUCUCUGCGGAGCAGAGGGGGCUGUGGGGAUGCGUGUGUCUUGGGAUAGAACUGUGCAGGUGAGGACCCCCUGUGCAAGGCCCAGCUGAACCUGCCAACAGCUGCACAUUUUGCUCCAAAGCCGCGUGUGCCUUCUGUGUGGCUUUGAGACUGGGACAUCCCAGCUGCGUCUUUCAGCUGGGAUAUACACUGCAACAUCUCAGCAAACUGGUGGCAUCCGUGGGGAGACAGGAAUACAAGGUGAUGAUCUGCUUUCUAAUUAUCUUCCAGCCUCCCCACCCACGCCCUUUUGCAAUCUGGUGAUUAACUUAAUUACAGUUCCAGCUCCAGGAGCUGAUCCAGCCCAAGAGCAGGAGCUUUGCCAGGAGGGUCUUGCUCCAUGUGUCCUGUCUGGGUUCAGACCAAGACCACAGAGACAUACACGAGCAACACCGGCUGCAGAAGCAAAUCCCAUUGCCUCAUGUGGGGGAUUGAAGCACUAACUGCCAGUGCAAGCCAGAUGCGUGGGACCCACUGCAUGGAAAGAAAACACUGGAUGGAGAAGCGCAAAGCUCAGUCUUUCCAGCAAAGGAUGGGUUGGCUGACGUAUUGCACCCAGAGCGUCCUUUGGGCUUUGCAGUGAGAGGUAAUGCAAUUGCCUGAUUAUUGGGGGGAGGCCGGGGUGGCUGCUGCUCCCCUGCCUGCUCCCUGUCUCCCUUCCUCUUGGCCUUUAUUUUAAGGCACCGUUGACAGUGUGACUGGUCUGUCCAGCUCAGGCGGAUGCUGUCAUUGCAGUGCGCUCAGCGCUGGAGCAGCAGCUCCACCCUGGGGACCAGGUCUGAGUGAGGACCAUGGGGCCAGGCUUGGGCUGCCAGGGCUGCCCUGUCACUGCUGUGCUGGUGCUGGCCAGGGGUGACAGCGGGAGCAGCCUGGGGCCCAGCUGCACCCCAGGGCAUUCGCUGUGGGCACCUCUAGCUCUCCUGCCCCAGUAGCGCUGUCACAGGCAUCCUGGUUACAAAAGGUAAUUAGUGGAGUAACACCAAGGGAGUAACACCUUCCCUUCUGGAGACAGCCCGCACUGCUGGGCUCUCACGAGUGCCUUUCCCCUUGCAGGCUCACACCGAGACCACUGUAAAGCAUCGUCCCUUCUCCUGUGCUCUAUAAAGCAUCGUCCCUUCUGUGCUUUGCUGCUGCACUGCUCCCUGGCACCUCGCUCAUGCAGACCGAGAUGUGUUGGCACACAGGACCGGCUGGGAGCAGCCACUAACACAAGACACGAGUUACUCAGUCCUCGUGGUCUCAUCUCUGGUGCCCAAGGAGGAUGGCUGUGGGCUGCUGAGGCUGCUGAGGACCCAGGGAGGAUGCACCAGGUGCAGGUACCUUGUUUUGGGUGUUUGCGGUGGGGCAGCGGGUGGUUCAGUGCAGGGCUCUGUGCCUCCCUCCUCCAUGGGUCUGUGCGUGAUUUGCUUCCCAGGGGAAAAGCAUCUGGAGGGAGUGAAAACCUCAAGGGAUGCUGUAAAAACUAAUUGCUUGAGGCAGGUGGAAAUGUUUUGUGGUGAUACAGGAAACCCUCCGGGGCAGGGGACACUUCACCUGGCUUGCAGAUGUCACUGUCCGCCCUGCCACCCACCCCCGGUGUUGCCGCAGGACAUCAGACCACAGAGCUGGAGCGCCUGGGCUGUCUGAGCUCCUGCCCCGUGUGCCCACAGACGGACAGACAGAUGGACAGACAGCAGUGCCGGCUGCCACCACUCCUGGCCGCCGGCAGAGUUCUCGUGGCUUGUGUUUCUGCUCUGCUUGUGGGUGCUCCUGUCCAGCUCUCCUCCCUUCCCACUUGGAGCAUUUCGCUACGGGAGAUGCAAAUGCAUGGCUGGUUGUGCUGGGGGGCUGCUCCGUCUCAGGCCAGCCCUGCCCCGUCAAACGCGCGGCUGACCCCAAAUGACAGACUCUAGCCCCAAAAUUUCACCCUACGCAAUGCUUUUAUGCCAAGGGGCUGGGCUGGUUCUCCUGUUGUACCACAUCCCGUCUGAGCCUGCUGGUCCCACCCAAGCACAACCCCUGUGCUGGUUGCCCCUGCUCAGGUCCCUGCUCCUCUUCCUCACCCUCGAGCUCUCCCCAGUCCCCCAGCACUCAGACAGGUUUGAAAUCUCCGGGUGCUGUUGCUAAUAAGGCAUGAGGCUCGAAUUAGGAGUGAAAAGCAGGGAUUUUCAUGUGGUAUCAGAUGCAAUGCUUCCUGCAGCUGGGCCCUCUGAAGGGUGGCCAAGCUCCAAUCAAGGCCUGGCUUAGGCUUCAAAACUGGGAUUUAGGUUGGGUUCAGGCUUUAUACCAUGUCCUUCCCCAAAGAAGCAGAGGAUGCUGGAAUUGAGGGUUUUAUCUCCAGGCCAAGUGAAACCCCACAUCCAUCCUCGCGGUUAACCAUCAGUAGACACACCACCCCUCAGAAAUCAAACUUCCUCCAGCAUAGUUUCGGUCUCGGUCACUCCAAGGAAAAUCACUUAGGUUCACCAUAAGCUCAGCAGUGAUUCACUAUGUUGAAAAUGUGCAGGGAGUUAAUUCUGUUCAUUAUGAAAUAUUUGUAUAAGGACUAUGUAGCUUGUCUUGUUAAAUUCUAAGAAAAACUGGCUGGAAGAAUUCUGUGCUUAAUUCUGCUGUUUGGUAUCUUAUUUUAAAUCUAGUGACUAGUAGCUACAGAUGCUAAUGCCUGGCUUUUUUGCUUUGAGUUGCCUAAGUAAACAGCUUGGGUUGUGUUUUCCUGUGCACACUCUUGCUCAAUAACUUAAAAAUGUGACAAAAGCUUGAGAUAAUAACUGCUAUUACCAGGAAAAUCCUCCAAUAAAUAAUAAUUUUCUUAUCUGCAUGA
Columba livia (rock pigeon) is the source of this 15235-nucleotide long non-coding RNA. RefSeq lists it as uncharacterized. NCBI's taxonomy places the organism in Eukaryota, Metazoa, Chordata, Aves, Columbiformes, Columbidae. The record is from RefSeq and is a predicted model, not a curated record. The transcript has 9 exons.